This 429-nucleotide ribosomal RNA is filed under the name Acidobacteriota bacterium. RNAcentral's name for it is "Acidobacteria bacterium partial 16S ribosomal RNA". It matches the Rfam family "Bacterial small subunit ribosomal RNA", at positions 355 to 776 of the family's 1533-position model. Lineage: Bacteria; Pseudomonadati; Acidobacteriota. The record is from RNAcentral.
UGGGGAAUUUUGGACAAUGGGGGAAACCCUGAUCCAGCCAUCCCGCGUGUGCGAUGAAGGCCUUCGGGUUGUAAAGCACUUUUGGCAGGAAAGAAACGUCAUGGGUUAAUACCCCGUGAAACUGACGGUACCUGCAGAAUAAGCACCGGCUAACUACGUGCCAGCAGCCGCGGUAAUACGUAGGGUGCAAGCGUUAAUCGGAAUUACUGGGCGUAAAGCGUGCGCAGGCGGUUCGGAAAGAAAGAUGUGAAAUCCCAGAGCUCAACUUUGGAACUGCAUUUUUAACUACCGGGCUAGAGUGUGUCAGAGGGAGGUGGAAUUCCGCGUGUAGCAGUGAAAUGCGUAGAUAUGCGGAGGAACACCGAUGGCGAAGGCAGCCUCCUGGGAUAACACUGACGCUCAUGCACGAAAGCGUGGGGAGCAAAGAGG